AUGAAGCGCAUAGUGGGGAGCCCGGGGACAUGGAGCGGCAUGGCGCUCCGGGUGUCGCAGUGCGUCUUCGCCGCCGGAUCCGUCUUCGCCAUGUUCUCUGCUUAUGGCUUCUCCAACUACAGCGCCUACUUCUACCUGAACUUUGCUUCGGUGCUGCAGUUUCUGUGGAGUUUGCCCCUUGCUUGUCUGGAUAUCUUUUCUCUCAGGAAUCAAAAGGAUCUUCACGCACCGGCUCGUCUAUUGCUCAUUGUUAUCGUCGACUGGGCCGUGGCGGUUCUCAUGUUCUCAGGAGUUUGUGCCGCCGCCUGCCUGACGAUUUUCUUCAUGAAAGAUGUGAACUUCUGUGAGGGGUUCUCGUGGCUGGCCUGCAAUCAGUUCGCGCUUUCGGUCACUCUGGCAUUCAUCACGUGGUCGCUGCAAGCUGCGUCUUCUUUCUCCGGGUUCUGGCUACUGGUCUCGUUCUUCUAG
Molecule: ribosomal RNA, 468 nt
Filed under: Triticum aestivum (bread wheat)
Lineage: Eukaryota; Viridiplantae; Streptophyta; Magnoliopsida; Poales; Poaceae
Description: partial small subunit ribosomal RNA
Source: RNAcentral